UCCUAUGAAGAUCCUCUGCUAAGAUACUCUGGCUGCCUGUGUUUCACAUCUUGCCACAUGACUGGGAUUCAAAAAUAUAUCUCAGCAGUUUAAAUUAUUUACGCUGCCUCCUAACAAACAAACAACCAGGAAACGGUAAAUAUAGGAACCUAUGCAUUCCCAUAUUUCACCACCACUUUAAACACGGUUUCUCCCAUCUCGGUAAUGGAUUUCGACACUGGUUAUAAUAUGGUAUUUCACAGAGAAAACAUUUUAAAACUUAAAACCCAAAGAAAGCAGGGAUUGAGUAACAAUCAACAAAUCUGUCCUCAUUUUUUCUUUCUUAUUUUAUAUACCUGAGUGGCCUAGCCCUUCUCUCCAAAUCUGAUGAACAGGUUUUCCCUUUGAAGAAUGGUUAUGCAUUCUUUGCCUUAUUUAAUUUCCACCCAGGUAUGUGAAGGUGGUGGUGAAUUACAUGUGUGUUUAGGUGCUAUGGGCUUCCAUAGUAUAUACAAGGGAAUGUGAAAGAGCAGGGCUCUUAAAGGGCCAUACAAUGAAUGAGAAUAUCCCAACCUAAGGAAACUUUGGACGUGUGCGAACAUGUGAGACAUCGUGCUUCAUGCCCUAGGAGAUAAAAAAUAGAUAAGACAUAUUUAGACUCUCCAGGUACAUUAUGGGCUAUAAGUAAUUCCAAAAAGGGGGGGGAAAUGGCUUUUUUUUUUCCCAAAAUGGAAAAAAAAUUAUUACGAAAGUAAUUCACUGCCAUAAAAAGUAAUUUAAAAUAGAAAUGUAUUUAAUGGAGAGAGUGAAAUUCCUACUUCUCCAUCUCUAAUUCCAGAGAUAUAUAUCAUUAAGAAUUUUGUUGAGGAGUUCCCACUGUGCCGAUGGGAUCGACAGUGUUUUGGGAGCACUGGGACACAGGUGCGAUCUGGGCCUGGCACAGUGGGCUGAAGAUCCAGUGUUGCCACAGCUGCAGCCCAGGUGGCAGCCAAAAAAUAAUUUUGUUGAGCCUUUUAGAAUAUUUAUGUAGUGGGAUCAUACAUAUGGUUCUUUAACGUGUAUCAGUACUUACAGUUAUGUGUUUGUUUUACUUCUUACUGGCUGUGUACUAUUCCAUUGUAUGUGUGUAACAUAAUGUCUCUUACUGACAGUUGAAUUCAGUUCUCUGAGUUUUUUUUAAAUUGAAGUAUUAUGAUUUACAAUGCUAUGUUGUUUUUAGAGUUCCCACUGUGGCUCAGGGGGUUAAGAACUUGACAUAGUAUUCAUGAGGAUGCGGAUUCAAUCCCUGGCCUCAUUCAGUGGUUAGGUUCCGGCAUUGCUGCAAGCUGCAGCAUAGGUCACAAACGAGGCUCAGAUCCCACGUUGCUGUGGCUGUGUUGUAGCUCUGAUUAGACCCAUAGCCCAGGAACAUCCAUAUGCCAUAGGUAUGCCCCUAAAAAGAGGGAAAAAAAAAGAGAGAGACAGAGUGUUAUAGUGAACAUUCUUGUUUAUUUAUUUUUCUGCACUUGCUGAACAACUUCUUGGGAAGAUCAUGGAAGUAACAAUGGAAUUUCAGUAGAGCCUGGAGGAUGGAAACUACAAGGUGUACUUGGGGGUCUGUGAAUAGACUUCUUAGGGUAAAGUGCAGAUUUUGUGGUCUCCAUCUUGGGCAAUUGACUCAAUAAAAAAUUAAGACGUGGGGGAAGUUUGCAGGAGAAUAUUAAGUUAUGGCGGUUUAGACAUUUUGAGUUUGCAGAGAUGCCAUGAUACCUAAGAAGAAAUAUCCACAUCUUUCUGGGAAUGGAGGGUGCUGGGUGGCUGGGAACUACCAGAGGCAAGGAGGCAUCAGAGUUUCCAGGAAGCACUGGGAAAGCUCUGACACACAAAAGAGGCCUUAGGAAGGAUGGGUGCCUGACUGUGAGGGAAGUCGGGAGGAACCACAUCCUUAUCUAAAAAACUGGGACAACAAUUCCACCCCUCAGGGUUAGUAUGAGCCCUAAGUGAAAUAAAAGGCAGUUUUCCUACACCGUCAUUUCACUGCAUUAUGAACUUCCUCUGUAGGCCCCGAAUCAUGGUCAUCAAAACAGGGCUCUUGGAGAUGUUCGUUUAUGGAACGAAGACGGUGGGUUACGAAGACCUUUUCAGGGAGCAACUGUGAAGUAACCGAAGGGGGUUGGCUCUGUUUUCUCAGUGAUUCAGUGGAAAAUGAAGAGUUACCUCCAAAGAUGGGAAUCUGGUCUAAAGACUUCAGGGCACUUUCACAUCUGUGGUUACUGAGCUGAAUUUUCCCUUUUAUCUAUUUCAACACCCACCCUCACCCCCACCCAAUUACAGAGACUUGUUUUUGCUUUUAGAGCAGAAAGGAAGGAUGGGACGACACACUCCAAAUAUUUAGUUAGUUGCAAAAGUAUGCAAAAGUGUUAUUUCAAAGCACCUUCAAGUACUGGGUUUCUUGAAAUAAGAAACUCUAUCAUCUUGCUCUGCUGUGUUCCCUUUGGCAGGAACAAUAACCAUCCACUUCAAGGGCAAAACACUCAGCUCUUUGCGGGGAAAGAAUAACAGCCGGAGAGUUGGGAGAGGGAAAUUGCAGGCUCAGCUCUCCCCAUCCAGGUGGGACCACUUCUCUGGGCCUUAUGAUGCUGAUGAGUAAAAUGAGAGGGCUGAGCAUGAAGCCUUUAUGUUUCUUGAGGGUAAGACAUCACAACCUCUUGUCCACAGAUCCCUGGUGAGGUUGAUGGGACAGUAGCAGGAAGCUUGUUUUGUGGAUUUGGAAAUGAAAACCCAAGAGGUGAGUGACUUGGGAACACUGAACAUGAUUUCCCCUCUCAGAGAUGAGACCAGGACUAAUGUCUGCCAGCCGAUUUCUAGCAGGAAACACAAUCUUCUGAAAGAUUCUGAAUUUGGUGGGGAUGGAGACUUCCAGAAAGUCAAGUGUCUGCUUCCUUCAUAUGGACCACUGCCUCCCCCUCUGUGGCAGCCCCUGCUAUUUCUUCCCUGUCACUCCUUCUUUACACUCUUGUUCCAGCCAGACCAGACUACUCUGAGUUCAUCUUACGGCCCCACCUCCUGGUCUUUGCAUCAACUAGAUAUACAUACGUGCAUGUAUGGGUUUUAUUUGGGGCUUGGAAAACUCUUUUCCCCAUUAGUCCUUUUCUCUAGUUAACUCCUCCUCCUUCAGCCUUUUAUUCUGUCUUUUACUUCUUUCUGAUAGCUUUUCCCAACUCUCCCUCCAAACUGUGAUGGAGACCAUUUCUCUGGACUUUCUAAAUUAUUGUGAUGAUGGUAUUUACUCCCAUAUGAUAAGUCCCCAUUAAUUCAUGAAACAGAUGAGAAAUAUACUUGUUGGUUGUCCCAAAAUUGCAAUGGCUUAAAUCAGAUAAAAUCUUUCCUUUCACAUAAUAAGAAAUGUAGAGUUAUGUUCUCCAGAAUUGAUGUGAUAGCUUUAAUGUCAAUAAGGACCCAGGUUCUUUAGAACUUUUUGUUUCAGUAUCCUUAGUAUUGCCUCAUGAUUCCAAGAUGGAAGCUGGAAUGCAAGCCAUUCUAUCAGUAAAGGGGGCAGGAACUAAAAGGAAUGUCUCCAAGAUGAGUCAGCCCCCUUUAUGAAAUUUUCCUCUAAGUUCUACCAAAGAUACCUCCUUGCCUAUCCUUAGCUGGUAAAUAUAGUUCCUUAGCAUCCUGAAAACCACUAAUGCCCUUGGUAAGGUAGAAGGAGAGAGGAGCUGUUUGGUAGGCAUUCGACAUCUCUGCCAUCCGAACUACUCAAGAUGUGGUAGGCAGCCCAUGUCAGUCUGUGAGCAGAUAAGUACAGCAGUGUAAGAGUUUACAAACUUUCCUAGCAACUUGACCUUGCCGUGACGGUGGUAUCUAUCCACAAUGGAUGGACAGUAAAACAAUAACAGCUCAUUCUUUUCCGCAGAGUCUGAGAAGCCCUAUGUGCCACAAGUCCUCUGUCUGCCCCCGGCCACUGCCAGCAUCACGAGGCCAGGUGAGCUUUGUUCUCUAUCGUAUUCAUGGGUUCUGCUACUACGCCUAAUGAAGAGGUGCCUCAUGAACCUUGAGUCAAAAUAAGCAGUGGAUGGAUAUCUUUGUUAACAUCUUGUUCUUGCUUAGCUUACCUGCUCUGAUGUGUCUGAAUUUCUCUCCUCUCCUGUGUCUCUUCAUGACCUCCUUUGCUUGCUUCUUUCUUGCCCUACUGUCAGCAUCUCUCAGUUCCUUCUUUCUCUCCCAACCCUUGAAUGUGUAAACUUCUUAGGCUUCAGCCCUGAGCCCUCUGCCUCUCUCUUUCCACACCCACUCCCCCUGGGCUCACCUACUUCAGCAGCUUUCAGGCUCCUGCGGGAGAACCCCCCCCCCCAGAUCCUGGCCCCAGGCUGAACCUUCUCCUGGCUCCUGCUAUCUUCCAGGUGCUCGCUGGAGUAGGUCCAGAAUUGAAGUCUCUCUUCUCCUCAGUCAGGCUGAUGGCGGGACUCUCCCCAGAAACCACUGGGAUUCAACAUAGAGCCCAGAGGGGCCAAGCUUUGAGCACGAAUAAAUCUGAAUAGUCAUCUUAUAGGAAGUACAAGUAGGGGAUGCAUGGCGCUCCUGUAAGAAAAGAGGCUCCUCACCCUUGGACCAGACAAAGAGGGGGCUCUGCUGCAGGGCCCUGGGAUGGUGGACAAGGCCCUGUUUUGGAAACGAGGGUGUUUUUGUACUGGGGAAGGAGGUGUCAUUAAAGAUACUUCCUCUCUCAAGGAUGAACCUUGGUCACUGUGAGCAACUGCUUUUCCCUAAUUAAUGCAGGACCCACCUGCAGCGAGCUCACUCCCCAGGUCUAUGCAGGAUGGCCCUGGCCUUCUCAGCUUGCUUCACAAUCGAUAGCUCUCCAAAAGAGGCAGCUUUAUUCACUGAAAUCACAGAUCAAUGAGACAAGAUUUGCAUAUGAGCUGAGUAUAUAAAUCCUGGGGUGAAGUAAUAAUUUUUUCCUCUGCUGUCUCCUGAUUUUCCCUCCCUUUCUGCUUCCUCAGUUACUUCUCCCUUCUGAUCUUUCCUCAUUCUCUUCACUGGUAAAGUCCUUUAAUGACUCCUUCUUUCCCACCCCCAGAACCCCCAGGGGCAGGGGGUUGUCUGUACUCACCCAGGCCCUGUGUGUGAUUCUCUGUGAAUCUGCCUCCCUCCAGCCAACCCAGGAUCCUAUGAGCAACUUGAGGGCAGAGAUGAUGUUUCCCUCUGGGUCUCCAGAAUGACCUGGGUAGGGGGUGUGCACUGCCUCAAGGCCCAUACUCAGCACUGUUUAUUGAACCCAUGAGUCUUUGACAACCUCCUCUAUUCCCCUCUUUCUCCCUUCUUCCCUCCUCUCUCUCUCCAAGCCUCCUCUCAUUCACCUUCCUUAAGUGGAAGAUGCCUACAGGUGCCUUGGCAAGGAGGAGCUAGUGUGUAUCAGCACAGUUGGGAUUUCCAUGUGCCAGUGGCCAAGAGGUCACCAAGAGCAAUGAGGAAUCUUUUUCUUGCAUGGCAGUAUGACCUGCUAUCCUGUUACCCCAUAGUCUUCCUCCCUCCCAGGGGACUUGAAAGACUUGAAAAAUAAUGGUGCCCUUCUCUUGAUUGAAAGGUCUGAAAGUGUCUCUUGGAGGCAGAGGCCCCAUUUGACUAAAAUGGUGUUGAGGAAACCCCAGGAACUUGACUGCGAUGGGUCUCUUCAAGAGGUUGUACCCAUAGGCUUCCUUGGUUUCUAUUUUCUCUCGUGACCAAAAAAUUGUAAUGCAUGCCCUGUUUCAAAUCAGAUACAGAUUUGGGGGGUAAUUUUGGCAGCUCUAUCAUGUUUCCAACUCUUAUCACUUUCUUUACUUGCUCUGGGAUAUUGAAAAGUAGCGUUGGCCCAUCUGGGGGUCCUCUUCUCAAUGCAACACUUAGAUUUAAAGAGAAGUCCUCUUUGGAAUAAAAACUGUGUACUGCCAAGACAACUCUGUACAUCAUUAGGGGUGGGUCGAGAUUGGAAAGGAACCUUGGCUCCCAUCUUUUCAUGCUGGCUGGUUGAGAUCAGAGGCUCCAAAGCUUUGUCCUCACAACUUACAACAGUGGUGGCUGCUGGCGUGUUAUGAUAUGCAUAGAAUCUUAUUUGAGUCUUGUGUCAAUGCUCCUGAGGUCAGUUGUAAUCAUGUACCUCAUAGGGAAGAUGAGGGUCCAGAUGUUAUGUAACCUGCCCACAGUUCCAUAGCCAGGGAGCACCUCCUAAGGCUCAAACCCACCUUCCAGUGCUAAAUACCUUUCUCUUCCCAUUGAGCCACAUGGCCCAAGUGUGAGCCACACGGCAGAGUGAUAAUCAUCAGAGGAGUGUGCUUGGCUGCCUUGCUGACAAUGUAGGAAUUACUCUCUGAUGAAGCCCACUUUUCCUGGGGCAGAAAGAAAGCAAAGGAUCUGUAAAAAGCUGAGCUUCCCUGCUUGGCUUCCAAAAAAUGCUACCAGGGCCCACGGACAGGACCACUUUAAAACUGUCUCAGUCUCUCCCCUUCCUGCGCAUGUGGCCUCUCAGCACCGCCCUCCUUCUCCCUCAGGCUCUCUGGCCACCCCAGAGCCCAUUAAUAUCUGUUGUCUUGGUCAAAAAUAUUGUGCAGUUACUCUCCUGUCCCAACCUUUUGCUGAAAAAGAAUCUGGUUAAUUAACAUUGAUUACAAUCCACCAACUGCAAGUAAAAAUCAAUGGCUGGGGUCCCUAAUUUGAAUGCAUUUCUCUCUCCUUAUCUCUUAUGAGAAAGAAAAAGGCAGAAGGGGUGAGAAAGAGAAGAGAUGAGAGGACAGAGUGUGUUUUUCAAGCAGACCACUUUCCAGGGCCCUGGUGAGGGACAUCAGUGAUGCUGCUGGCCUUUAGAUCUUGCCCACUCUCCCUCAGCAUGGCCAUUUUUCAGUGUGACGUCUAAUUGCCACAAAUAGUCACUGUGCCCAUUUGGGCCUUGUUCAUAGCUCCCUGCUUUAUUGAGAGAGGAGCGAUGGUAUUGAUUCUGGAUGGCCGGGGAGAACGCCAGAGAAUAUUAGUAAGGAGCGGAGAGAACACAGUACAUAAACUUUUAUGACGCUAUGUCAAGCUGGAUUGUGAAGACAUAAAUGAAAAGGACAGCACGGUCUGUAAUUACCACAGACGCACAUCUUCCAUCUGCUAGGGAAGGCGGCCCUGGCUGGCCGGGGGCAAGUUGCAGAGGGGAAUGAAUGGUCCAGCUCAUAGGAACGGUGGCCCGUAGUGGUUGCUCCUCGUUGUUGAGAAAGAAUAUAUGGG
This 7203-nucleotide long non-coding RNA is filed under the name Sus scrofa (pig). RNAcentral's name for it is "lncRNA (ENSSSCG00060070672.1)". The record is from RNAcentral. Lineage: Eukaryota; Metazoa; Chordata; Mammalia; Artiodactyla; Suidae.